GCGGCCUAUCAGCUUGUUGGUGAGGUAAUGGCUCACCAAGGCGACGACGGGUAGCCGGCCUGAGAGGGCGACCGGCCACACUGGGACUGAGACACGGCCCAGACUCCUACGGGAGGCAGCAGUGGGGAAUAUUGGGCAAUGGAGGGAACUCUGACCCAGCGACGCCGCGUGCGGGAUGAAGGCCUUCGGGUUGUAAACCGCUUUCAGCAAGGAAGAAGCGAAAGUGACGGUACUUGCAGAAGAAGCACCGGCUAACUAUGUGCCAGCAGCCGCGGUAAUACAUAGGGUGCAAGCGUUGUCCGGAAUUAUUGGGCGUAAAGAGCUCGUAGGUGGUUCGUCACGUCGGAUGUGAAAAUCUGGGGCUUAACCCCAGACCUGCAUUCGAUACGGGCGAGCUAGAGUGUGGUAGGGGAGACUGGAAUUCCU
RNAcentral lists this ribosomal RNA (426 nucleotides) under uncultured Actinomycetes bacterium. RNAcentral's name for it is "bacterial SSU rRNA". It matches the Rfam family "Bacterial small subunit ribosomal RNA", at positions 233 to 671 of the family's 1533-position model. Lineage: Bacteria; Bacillati; Actinomycetota; Actinomycetes. The record is from RNAcentral.